GACGAACGCUGGCGGCGUGCUUAACACAUGCAAGUCGAACGAUGAACCGGUGCUUGCACCGGGGAUUAGUGGCGAACGGGUGAGUAACACGUGAGUAACCUGCCCUGGACUCUGGGAUAACCCCGAGAAAUCGGAGCUAAUACCGGAUAGGACCUGGAACCGCAUGGUUUUGGGUGGAAAGUUUUUCGGUCUGGGAUGGA
RNAcentral lists this ribosomal RNA (200 nucleotides) under uncultured bacterium. RNAcentral describes it as "partial 16S ribosomal RNA". It matches the Rfam family "Bacterial small subunit ribosomal RNA", at positions 28 to 229 of the family's 1533-position model. The record is from RNAcentral.